CAACAGCGAAAGCGAUCGAAGUGAAAAUACUGCAAUGCAACAUGUGUCUUUCUAUGAUUGUUUUUGAAUAUACAGAAAAGUUAAAAUGUUGCGUUGCAGAUUGGAGCGUAGAGCGCGGUUUCUC
This 124-nucleotide unclassified non-coding RNA is filed under the name Leptospira interrogans. RNAcentral describes it as "Flavo-1 RNA". The record is from RNAcentral. Lineage: Bacteria; Pseudomonadati; Spirochaetota; Leptospiria; Leptospirales; Leptospiraceae.